AGCGAACGUUAGCGGCGGGCCUAACACAUGCAAGUCGAGCGAGAAAGUGGCUUCGGCCACGAGUAAAGCGGCGGACGGGUGAGUAACACGUAGGUAAUCUUCCCUUGAGCGGGGGACAACGAGCCGAAAGGCUCGCUAAUACCGCAUACGUUUCCAGAGGCCCCGGUCUCUGGAAGGAAAGCUAGGCCGCAAGGUCUGGCACUCGAGGAGGAGCCUGCGUCGCAUCAGCUAGUUGGUGGGGUAACGGCCUACCAAGGCGAAGACGCGUAGCUGGUCUGAGAGGAUGAUCAGCCACACUGGGACUGGGACACGGCCCAGACUCCUACGGGAGGCAGCAGUGGGGAAUAUUGGACAAUGGGCGCAAGCCUGAUCCAGCCACGCCGCGUGAGUGAUGAAGGCCUUCGGGUCGUAAAGCUCUGUGGGGAGGGACGAACCGCUGCACGUUCAUAGCGUGCAGCAUGACGGUACCUCCUUAGCAAGCACCGGCUAACUUCGUGCCAGCAGCCGCCGCGG
This 513-nucleotide ribosomal RNA is filed under the name uncultured bacterium. RNAcentral describes it as "partial 16S ribosomal RNA". It matches the Rfam family "Bacterial small subunit ribosomal RNA", at positions 29 to 523 of the family's 1533-position model. The record is from RNAcentral.